This 2325-nucleotide ribosomal RNA is filed under the name Triticum aestivum (bread wheat). RNAcentral's name for it is "partial small subunit ribosomal RNA". The record is from RNAcentral. Lineage: Eukaryota; Viridiplantae; Streptophyta; Magnoliopsida; Poales; Poaceae.
AUGGCAAAUGGACGACGCCGUGGAGGAGAAGGACGCUCAAUCCUCCUCGUUGGAGCUGCACAGGCCGACAUACUUUGCCGCCUGCUCCUCACGGAUGCGGAGCCACUCAUCCUCCUUCUCCUUGGUGGCGAGGUUGGCGGCGACCGCCUCCCACCAUUGGAGGGAUUCGAGCUCUUCGACGUGGCACCGAUGCUCCGCCUCCUCGUGCACGCUCCGCUCGGCGAUGGCGGCCGCAACGGCGUCGACGUAGACUUCUGGCCCGACGACUCUCCGGCGGCCGAGCGGAGCGGGCUCCUCGGGCUCCUCCUUCACAGGGACAAAGGCGAACGUGUCCGGCUCCUCCGACUCCUCCUCAUCUUCCUACUACUCCCUCUUCACGGGGAGAAGGCCCGCGCAGGAGGACGAGGAGCUCCUGGCGUACGAAGACCUUGCGGAGGAGGAGGACGCGCGCCGACGGUCGUACUCCUCGGUCUCGCUCCGCUAGAAGCUCACCGGCGACGACAGGCCGCGGUUGGUCCACUUCCGGGCCCUGCGCUUCCUCACGCCGUCCGACCGGACGCGCCACUCGUGCUCCGGGUCCCUUCCGCCGCCGGAUCUGCUGCCGGAGCCACGUACGGAGCUCCAUAUUCGGCCCCACAAGGCAGCUGGAGGCGGGGCGGGUGGUCACCGACGGCGAGAAAUGUGGAGAGGGGAAAGGGGAAUCGCGUGGCUCGGCGGCGGCGGAGGAUAGGGUUUGAACCCGCAAACGAGUCGCGGAACCGCAGAUAUAGUGGUCGGGGCGUGCGGUUUGCGGACCGGGCGAGUAUGCGGGCUCUGUUCUGGCUGAAAAAUUGGGCCGAGCCUGCAUACUCGCCUGAAUUUUUGCGGGCAGAGCAUGCUCUUGAAAUCGAAACAAACUGGGCCAAGCCCAUCCUCGUUGGUAGCAUACCGUACGCCUCACAAACGUCGAUGGGCAACCACAAAAAACACAACAACCGAAGGCCCCGCUUUGUUGAGCAGAUUUAUGAAAUAGUCACAGAGCAUGCUCUUGAAACCGAAACAAACCGGGCCAAGUCCAUCCUUGUUGGUAGCAUGUCGUACACCUCAACAAACGUCGAUGAGCAACCACACAAAAACGCAACAAACCGAAGGCCCUGCUUUGUUGAGCAGGUAGUAGCUUCCACCAGUGCAGAAGAUCUUCUCCUACAUAAUAUUAUAAUUGUGAUAGACUCGAAGCAAGUUGCAGUUAGGCUCAUCUACUCGGGUGAGACGUUUUGGAGGCCGAGCUACCUGCAGGCCAAAAUCUGUGCCGUGGAGUAUAGCAUUGCGAUGUGUGCUCAUUCGUUAAUACGGUCGUUAUUAAGUUGCAAUACAGCGGUGCCGUGGGCUGCGGUGUUGUCAUUGUACAUGGGCCUCUGCUCAUCUGCGCUAGUGCCCCUGGUUGUUGAAUCUGGGUGGGUGGGGGGUGUCACUGAUGUGGAGUGCGUCGUUGCCUCCAUGCAUGAAGCUCGCGUGAACUGCCCUGUUUUGAUUUCCUCCGAGCCAAUCACAAGGCGUAGAGCAACACCGUUUAGGACAGACACCUUGAGGAGCGACAUGGCUCCUGAAGAUACCAGCGAUGCAGCUGUCAGAGAAGAUGGAGAUGCAGAACAUUGCCCAUUGACAAAACUGGUAAGAAUGUGGAUUUCUCUUAUCGACAAAGAUGAGAAGUGGUCAAAACUGGGCAGUGUUGUUCUAACUCAGAACCUGCCUAUUGAGAUACAUGUAUCAAAAAUUUACACAAGGACUAUGUUUGAAAAUUUUGGUGAGAUGUUGUAUGUAGUCGGAUCGUAUGUUCUGAGUGAAGUUGUACCUCGUCGCGAGUACAUAGCCAGGCAUGUAAAGAAGGAUUCGAAAGAGAAGUGGUGUAAAAAUGAAUUCCUUCUUCAGGUGAACGAUCUUGCUGAUGAGUUCAAGUGUAAUGAUCCAGCUUGGGCUGUAAGAUGUUUUGGCAAAACACGUGCUGGAAUGAUGGACCAGGGAUGCGAGGGAUAUACUCCCACCAGAGCUUCUGCGCUGCUAGAAGAACCAAGCAAUCCGGCGCAGAGUGCGUCACAAAGUUCAGAUAGUUUUGCGACACUGUCGAAGAAGAGGCCAGCAGGGCGGCCUACCCAAGCUGCAACAAAGCACCGUAGGAAUAGCAAGCUAAAAGGACUAGGUUCUGUUCUACAUGCAGGGUUCAAGAUCACAACAGUACUGCAUGUCCGCAGCGGGGUGAUCUUCCAAAGGCGCUUGCUGCUCCAGAUGCAGCUUGAGAGGGCACAGGAAGAACAUAUGCACCAACCCCCCGAAAGCAGACUUGAAUGA